Molecule: long non-coding RNA, 679 nt
Filed under: Vigna radiata
Lineage: Eukaryota; Viridiplantae; Streptophyta; Magnoliopsida; Fabales; Fabaceae
Description: long non-coding RNA (VRAD_LNC013782)
Source: RNAcentral
AAACAUAACAAAACAAAAAUUUAAUCAACAAAUUAACAUUUAGGUUGUGUACUAAUACAACCUUGCCAUAUGGCAAAUGCAACAUUCUCCAUGUAAUGGUAAGCAGGGAGGUGUAUUGUUGACCUUCAUCACUUCACUAUGCACCUCCAAGUUUAACUGAAAAUCCAAUUUUUCCCCUCUAUCCUUUUACACCUCUAACAUAGAAUGUUUGACCAAAAAAGAUUCCUUUUCAAUUUUCAAAAACUAAAACCCUAAGCCUUUAUCUCUUGCGUCUCCUCUGAUACUCUCAUUCUCUCAUUUGCCUCUUUCCUCACUUUCACUCUCUCGCGCCCUCUUCCUUCCUUUCGUUUCUUUUGGUUUUGCCGGCAAUUGGUGGUGGUGAGGUGGUCUUCGUUGGUGGUGGAUCUGCUCUCCUCUCGCGUGUUCUUUUUUGCACUAAGGUUCGUCUCCUUGUUCUAUGCUCGUUCAUUUUUUAUCCAUUGUUAAUGCAUGCAUACGUGGAUUGAAUGGAUGAAUUUGAUUUCAUUGUAUGCAUCUGGAUUAAAUGUAUGCAUUUGUGGAUUGAAUGUAUGAAUUGAACUGAAAGGAUGUGCUCCAAAAUGUGACUUAGAGGCGUUAACCACACUUCGAAGUAAGGUUAAGGCCUCCCCGGCGUUUGAAAGCCAGUUGAGGGCUCGCC